UACGUAGGGUGCAAGCGUUGUCCGGAAUUAUUGGGCGUAAAGAGCUCGUAGGCGGUUUGUCGCGUCUGCUGUGAAAACUCGGGGCUUAACUCCGGGCCUGCAGUGGGUACGGGCAGACUAGAGUGCGGUAGGGGAGACUGGAAUUCCUGGUGUAGCGGUGAAAUGCGCAGAUAUCAGGAGGAACACCGAUGGCGAAGGCAGCCCCCUGGGCUGAGAUUGACGCUCAGGCACGAAAGCGUGGGGAGCAAACAGG
This 253-nucleotide ribosomal RNA is filed under the name uncultured bacterium. RNAcentral describes it as "partial 16S ribosomal RNA". It matches the Rfam family "Bacterial small subunit ribosomal RNA", at positions 524 to 776 of the family's 1533-position model. The record is from RNAcentral.